AGGCUGAAGCCCGCUGGCUUGGGUGUUUAGUUGUUAACUAUCUUUUUACGGGAUCGAGGCCCGUCGGCCUAGUG
This 74-nucleotide transfer RNA is filed under the name Cyrtodactylus jaegeri. RNAcentral describes it as "tRNA-Asx". The record is from RNAcentral. Lineage: Eukaryota; Metazoa; Chordata; Lepidosauria; Squamata; Gekkonidae.